Molecule: long non-coding RNA, 6134 nt
Organism: Felis catus (domestic cat)
Lineage: Eukaryota; Metazoa; Chordata; Mammalia; Carnivora; Felidae
Exons: 4
Source: RefSeq, a predicted model, not a curated record
ACCCCAACAGCACAGGGUUCUUCUCCCUGGGGACUGUGGUGAGGGCGCAUGUCAGGGUGUGAGUCAGGUUUUGCCUUUGUGUUCAAGGACCAGCCCAAGGUAUGUGCCAAGCUUAGCUUUGGCCUCAGGAUCCCCCUUGGGAAUCUCCAUCCUUGUUUUGCAAAUGGUCUGAUGAGUUUACAAGUUCCAUGCUGAAUAAUCUUGCACUGGUUAUGGGCACCAAAUCUAUUUUCUAUUCUCAGACCUACAGAUUGGUCCCCCAUAGGGAAAGAGCCUUGGCUAGGGUCAGGGUUAGGUCCAGGAAACUUCAGGAACAGAACCUACACCAAUACAGGGAUUUCCCAGGAGGGGUGAGUAAGUGCACCUGUUAGGGUGCGUAACAAUAAUAGGCUUUGGGUGCAGUGAACAGCCAAUUGUGUGUUCCAGGCUUAGAUUUAGGCACUGGAUCCUCUUUGAAGCUCCAUUCAGGGCCUGGAAAUCCCAAGGUCAAAUUCAGCAUACCUCACUCAAUAUUUCAGCACCCAUCAUGAGUCCCAAGUCUGUUCUUUUUUCAGACCUAGGACGUGAUCCCUCUCAGAAGCAGAGACAUGGCUAGGGUUAGGGUUGGCUCACAGGAAGUGCUAGGGGCACAACCACCAACAGUGCCUUGAAUUUGCUGGAGGGCUGAGUUGAGUGCUCAAGGGAGGCUGUGGGUCAGGCUUAGUCUUCGGGUUCAAGGGCCAGCCUAUGAUGUGGGCCAAGCUCAGGUUGGGCUUCAGGAUCCCCCUUGUGCAGCUCCAUCCUUACUUUGGAUAUGACAUGGUGAUUUCACAACAUCCAUGCUGAAUAAUCUGCAUCUGUUAUGGGCCCCAUAUCCAUUCCUUUCAGACCUGCAAAUUUGGCCCCCAUAAGUAAAGAUCCUUGGCUAGGGUCAGGGUUAGGUCCCAGGAGGUUUCAGGGACAGAACUGAUACCAGUGCACAGAUCUCCCUGGAAGGCUGAAUUGACCAUGCCUGAUAGAGUGUGGGAGAGGCAUGAGGAUUGGGUGCAUUGGACAGCCAAUUUUGAAUGCCAGGCUCAGCAUUUUUUGUAAACAUAACCCAAUUCUUGUCCUUAAUGAAGAACUCUUGCUUUAGGUAUAUCAAGUUUAAUGACAUUGUUUAUUAUCCAUCAAGAUCUUCUCAGGGUCUAUACAAAUUCAGUCUUUCAGAGUACUAUCUCUGGCUUGGAGAUGUCCAAUGUGGAUCAGCCCUUGUGACUGUGGGGUAGGUUGAGCCAAAUGAACCCUGACCUUCUGGUUUCAGGACUACUUCGACAUGUAGAGCCAUAGGGCCUUGGCAGUGGUCCACCCGAGACCAGUUUGUUUGGAGGCUGGGCCAGACAGUAUUAGAAGGGAGCUGGCAUCCUUGCUGCACCUAGGGGACAUGAAGAAACACAUCUCCAUGCCACAUUGGUUUCACUCCCAUUGUGGAAAUAUUGAAUGCCCUUUGGUCAUGGCUGUAGCCAUUCCAUCACCCUUACUGUGUCUCUGACUCUGCCUUCAUUCAUGCUUAGGAGCCAUGGAGCUGGCACACACUCAGUGGGCUCCUAGGGAUGGAUGUUGUGUUCUCACUGUCCCGUGCUCAGUGACAGCCAUCAGCAUCGUAUAUACCAAAUGAGAAUAGCCCUCCUAUUCCUGAGCUUAGUGCUUGGCUGUUUUUAGCAAGGGGUGGGGGGAGUGUAGACAGCUUGACCCAUUGCUCUGCCUGAUUGAGGUUUCUUCCCCCUGAAAGGCAGACAGUUCACACAAGAGCAGUAGCUGGUGAGCUGGUGAGCUCCAGAAGCUGGUGAGCCCAGAAACUUCCCUUGACAGGAAGUGGGCACCAAUGCCUCUCUCCACACUUUGGAGCCACAUCUGGGGCACCUCCCAGCUAAAACACUGUCAGAGCUCACUCCAGUCAAUGAUGGAGAAAGCAAGAAAGGCAGACCAAGUCCCAGGGCUCUCUAGGUCCUUCUGAAGGCAGAAGUCAGGCCUGGUGCCAACACAGCUCCCAAAUGGAGAUUCUAGGGAGCAUAUUUCCCUAAGACCUCUGGUGUUUCUUCUUCUUCCCACAGCCAUGUUACCAGAGCUCUUGCUGGGCACUCACUUUUCCAUAGAAUUCCCCUUCCAAUCUUUGAAGAGUUCUGGUUUUCCUUAUUCAACUUCACACAUCUUUGCUCCUUCUCUAAAAACAAGGUUCUUCCCACAAUCCGUUCAGAGUCAAUGUCUCCAGGUCCUAUCCUCUGCCUUCCACCUGGGAGUCUGGUCCAGUCCUUGUGACUGGUGGAGAGAUUUUGCCACAGGGCUCCUAUUCAAAAGCCUUGUGACUGGCUUUCAGAAGGAUACAGCCAUUCAGGGCAUUUUUAGCGGCCAAGCAAAGGAUGUUUCAUAUGUAGGCUGGGCCAGAGGUCUGGCCAGGGAGCUGGUAUCUUUCUGGGCUGAGAGCAAAUGAAACAAGACAUCUUCUUUCCAAGUGUAUCCCCAUUCCCACUGGAAGUGUUGAGCUUUGGCUCUCCUUGCAUUUCCUUUUCCUUUCUGUAUUUUGAUAAUUUUUUCUCCCUUAGGAGCCACGGGGCCAUCACUCACUCAGCUGGCACUACUGGGUAGGCUACAAACUCCCACUAUGCUCCUGUGCUAAGUGAGAGCUAUCAGGCUUUGUUCUACCAAAGGAAAGAAAACCUUUACUCCCUUGGUGCUUGGUGGUUGGCCUGCUGUGCUAUGUAAGGUAAAGGGGAGCCAGCUUGCCUGACUGACCUGGACGAUUGAGUUUUCUUCAUUCUGAGAAGCAGAAAGUUAGCACAUGGGCAACAUGAAUGGGAGGGGGUCAGCACUAGAAGAGCCCUUGCCAGGAUGGAGGGAACCAAAUCCUUGUUCCAGAAUCCUGAGCAAGAGCCAGCAGAACCCAACAGCUACAGCUCAAACACUGCUGCCUCGCUCAACUGAUUGAAAAAGGGGGAGGGAUACCCAAAGCCAUAAUUCACUGGUUCCUAUGGAAAAAAAUGCAGGCUUCUUGCUGACAGGGCUCCCAGAUGUAGUCCUUCAGAGGCUUCUUUUGUCCUAAGCCCACAGGCAUUUCUUAUUCCGGAUAUAACUUGGUUGAGAGGAGACUGCACUGGGUACUUCAUUCUCAACAUUCUCCAAAUCUCAUGCGUGAUGAAGAACUCUCGCAGUCUGUGUCUCCAUCUCCACCACUUAACCCUUUUUGUGAAGAAACAUUCUGCAUAUAAUUUAUUCAGAGCCAGUUUCUCAGAGCAAUGUCCUCUUGUUUCAGCUUGGGAAUUUGGUGGUAUCUUUGUGAUGUUGAUAUAGGUAUUGCUCUGGGUCCUUCUUAAUUUCAUUUUAUAAUUACGUGGCCACCCCAAACCUAAGGUGUGUAAAGAUGCCCACGGAGAAUCCUUGAGGGUAGUUUAAGCCAGCCAGUGUUUAGGGGAGGAUCCUGCAUCCUGGGUGGGACAAGAGGAAGGGAUGUUAGAGAUAUCUCCUUCCUCAAUUAGACCUGUGCCCAUUUGAAUGGAGAACUUUGGCCUUGUAGUCAUUCCUCUCCCAUUGCUGCUUUUCUAACUUGCUCUCUGUUCACACAGAAAGACAAUGUGGCUGUCUAUACCCAGCCAUGUUCCAAGGAUUGGAAGUCAGUUUCAGUCAGUUCCUGAGCCAGUGGAGGACUCUCAGAGUCUGAUGUCUCAGAGAACAACUGACCCUCAUGUCCUCAAACUCUUCUUGCUUAGCGGGCUAUUAUAGGAAUAGUGAAUAACUGCUCUUCUUUUGAAUCAAGGGAUUCCCUGGAAUCCUUUCAGAGCCAGUGUCUCAGAGUCAUAUCUUUUCCUAUUAAGCAGGGAGUCUGGAACAAUUUUGGUGAGUGUGCAAUAGGUUUGGUCACAGGGACUUUGGGAGUUGUGUUUCAGAAUUUGUAGACAUCGCCAGGCCUAGAGCAUUUGCAGGUGCCCACUGGAAAAUGCUUGUGUGUAGGCUAAGCCAGAGGUUUUAGGAAGGGAACCAUCCUACUAUCUGCAUCAAGACUUAAUUAAGAAAGAUAUCUCCUUUGCAGAUGGAUGCUAUUCUCUUUGGAGAUGAAGAACUUUGUCACUGCUUGUACUCAUACACAUCCCAUUGCUGAUUUUCUAGCUAGGUCUCAGUUCAUGUUCCAGGACCAUAGGGCUGUUAUUAACACAGCCAUGACUAUAUGAAUGGUGCCAGGUUCCCAGUCAGUUUCUGUAAAUUGAAGGUUCUCUGGGUCUAAUAUCUAAGAGGAAACCUGGCCCUUCUGUCCCUGAGCACAUGGUGUUGCUUAGCUGGCUAGUGUAUGCACAAGCAUCACUAUCCAGUUGCCCUCCCUCCCCUCACUAAUAUAGAUCCAUUCAUUUUGAAGAACAGGCAGUUUUCAUGUGGGCAUGAUGCUCCAAGAUCUGAUCACCACAUAAAGUCCCCUUGGAUGGAAUCCUGUACCAUGUACUGCUUCCAAACACUUACCCAUCGGCUGGGAGUACAUCCCUGCUACAGCUGUAUCACCACUGCCCCUAUGUCCUGAUGGCAAGGAUAGAGCACAUAAGUAGAACCAGGUCUUUCCCUCUGAUUCUGAAAAAACAAGAUCGGAAGGCUUCUUGAUGACAGGGCUUUCAGGUGGAACUUAUACAUGGCACUGUUGGCCAAAUCCUGCUGGCGUUUCUCUUUCCUGAGUCAGUCAGUGAACUGGGGAAGACUGUGCUAGUCACAUAACUUCCUAUAUUAUCUCAUUCUUAUCUCUGAUGCAGACUUCUUGGAUUCCCUCUAUGUGUUUUCACCCCUUUGCUCUAUUUUAGUGCUGAGCCCAUGCUGGGGUCCAUUCCAUGUGAUUGUCUUACUGUCAUAUCCUGGGCUCUCCACUGGGGUUCUGGUCCAUUUAUUGUGAGUGUGGCAUAUGUUGUCCCAAAGGGCCCCAGGGUCUUUACAGGAUAGACUUCCCUAUAUGCUUGUUCAUCUCUGCAUGAGUCUCAAACUCAGGUUUCUGGCCAAGUAGGCCUAUGUUUUUCUUUUUGUUUUGCCAUGAACAGAUCCUCAGAGCCUCUUGGGUUUUGAAACAUCUUGAAAAGACAAGAAUAACUAUAAAAUGGGAAGGUGUUACAGUGUCUGAAUGAUGCUCAGACCUUGAACUCCUAGAGGGAAGACGUGGCUGCCUUACCAGCACUGGCACUAUGUGAAUGCUCAGAUGCUCAUUCCCAGUGGCUGACUGAAGAGUAGUCCGUGUUACCGCCACUGCUCCUAGAAUGCUGAGAGGCUUGGGGAGUACUGGUGAGACACCUCGGGACACUUUGGUGGUGGUGCCUGGAGACAUUUGUGGAAGUCCAGGAGUUCCUAGGUGUCCCCAAUCCAUGAAUGUCCCUGUCCUGCACAAACCAGACUAGAUGCACAGUGGCUCUGAGGGGAUGAAGACUUGGCAGUCUAGUCAGCGACUAACCUGGAUGCGGCAGGUUCCUGAAAGUACCACAUGAUCUCUGCUUGUUUCCCUCCUCUCUUCCUUUGCCAUUUGAACACCCACCAUACAUGAAGAGGCUCAGGUGAUUGAUGUCUGAGAACAGGAUGCUGACUGUUCCCUCAGGUAAGAGUUAAGUGCCAGACCUGGGCAAACCAUUUUGAGUACCUCCUAGCUCAUGUAUUUUAAUUGCCUCUUUGUGGAGUGUAAACCUCUUAGACCUUAACCUAGAGGAUCUUGGUGCAGAAAAGCUUAGCAGAUGGAGGGGAAAAUGGAAACAGAGUUGGAUAUAGAUGUUAGCCUCAGGGGAAAGAAUGUGGUUUGAGUUGGGAAAUGAGGAGGUGGGUAAAGGGAAGGUGCAUAUAUGUAUCAGGUGGCCCUCCUGCCAUCUCACUCCCUCUAUCUCCAUAGUAAAGAAACAUGAACAAAUAUUAACAGAAAGUUCCCCAGGGCAGGUGCUGGCCCCGGUCACAGCCAUUCAUUCGCUUUGUAAUUAACUCGAUGGUGUUACUUUAGCAUUAUUGAGUAUUUGAGUAUUAUUAUUUGAGGAGCACUGGGUUCAUGUACAGCCACCUCCCUGGGAAACCAGCUUUGCAAAAGCUUCCUGGGUCUCUUGAGGGGUGACAGGGAGGUGUCCACCUUGGGAGGAGACACCUGCCAGUCCCUGUCCCACUGGCCUGGUCUCUGGAGC